AAAGCAGCAAGAGGAAAAAAGAGUGGCCAAUACUGCUGUCUUUUCUCAAGCGGAUAAUGUCAUGUUCUCAGCCUAAAAAUGAUUUGCAGAGAACCUAAGAAAGUCACUGUUGGAUGAAGAAAUCUUAAAAGAAAGUUGAGAAGUUCAAAGUUCAAAAGCUGGUGUGCUGAUAACCAGUCAAGGCCAACCGUCCCGGCAUACCAGAAGGAUGGAGCCAUCUGAAACUGCACCCCACACAAUUUCCCGGAGGAUUGUGGAUUAGAUAAUCCUAACUGGACCUUUGGGGGGAGGGUUUUGGGGACAUUUCCUAUCUGUGUUUUUUGCGCCUAUUGUCUCAGACCUUGCUUUUCUUUGACUGCAAUCAGUUCAUACUCAG
Long non-coding RNA from Ahaetulla prasina, 376 nucleotides. RefSeq lists it as uncharacterized. The transcript is spliced from 3 exons. Lineage: Eukaryota; Metazoa; Chordata; Lepidosauria; Squamata; Colubridae. The record is from RefSeq and is a predicted model, not a curated record.